RNAcentral lists this ribosomal RNA (261 nucleotides) under Triticum aestivum (bread wheat). Its description in RNAcentral is "partial small subunit ribosomal RNA". Lineage: Eukaryota; Viridiplantae; Streptophyta; Magnoliopsida; Poales; Poaceae. The record is from RNAcentral.
AUGUUUCCUACUGUUUAUCACCUCAUUGAGUUGGAAUUGCUACUACCAAUAGUGACGACAAUAAUUGAAAGGGUCUUCUCAUCAAUGAUAAUCAUCCAGACUGAGUUGCGCAUCAAGAUGACAGAUGGUUGGCUUAAUGACUUAAUGGUUUGUUAUAUUGAGCGAGAGAUCUUCAAAAGAGCUGAUAUUGGUAAAAUUAAGGAAGAUUUUCAGGAUGAGCGUAAGCCAUUGCCAUUGCCUGGGUCUUCUAGACGCCAUUGA